RNAcentral lists this ribosomal RNA (567 nucleotides) under Pristimantis labiosus. RNAcentral describes it as "partial 16S ribosomal RNA". It matches the Rfam family "Bacterial large subunit ribosomal RNA", at positions 1832 to 2603 of the family's 2925-position model. Lineage: Eukaryota; Metazoa; Chordata; Amphibia; Anura; Strabomantidae. The record is from RNAcentral.
ACCUCUUGAAUUUAUAAGAGGCCAUGCCUGCCCAGUGACCCAUGUUCAACGGCCGCGGUAUCCUAACCGUGCGAAGGUAGCGUAAUCACUUGUCUUUUAAAUAAAGACUUGUAUGAAAGGCUUCACGAGAGUUAUACUGUCUCCUUUUUCUAAUCAGUAAACCUAAUCUCCCCGUGAAGAAGCGGGAAUAAUCAUAUAAGACGAGAAGACCCUAUGGAGCUUAAAACAUAAUAACACUUGAUUAAUUAUCUACCACGAUACUAUCUACAAUUACUACAUGCUGAUUAUAUGUUUUCGGUUGGGGUGACCACGGAGAACAAUUUAUCCUCCAUGAUGAAAGAGAAUAAACCUCUAAACAAUAAGCCACAACUUUAAGUAUCAAAAAUUUGACAUAAAUGAUCCAAUACUUUGAUCAACGAACCAAGUUACCCUAGGGAUAACAGCGCAAUCCACUUUAAGAGUCCUUAUUGACAAGUGGGCUUACGACCUCGAUGUUGGAUCAGGGUAUCCUAGUGGUGUAGCCGCUACUAAAGGUUCGUUUGUUCAACGAUUAAAACCCUACUGACG